This 73-nucleotide transfer RNA is filed under the name Chloroflexota bacterium. Its description in RNAcentral is "Chloroflexi bacterium (anaerobic digester metagenome) tRNA-Arg". It matches the Rfam family "tRNA". Rfam says of the family: Transfer RNA (tRNA) molecules are approximately 80 nucleotides in length. Lineage: Bacteria; Bacillati; Chloroflexota. The record is from RNAcentral.
GCCCCAGUAGCUCAGAGGACAGAGCAGAGGUUUCCUAAACCUUUGGUCGGGGGUUCGACUCCCUCCUGGGGCA